This 491-nucleotide ribosomal RNA is filed under the name uncultured bacterium. RNAcentral's name for it is "partial 16S ribosomal RNA". It matches the Rfam family "Bacterial small subunit ribosomal RNA", at positions 29 to 506 of the family's 1533-position model. The record is from RNAcentral.
AGUGAACGCUGGCGGUAGGCCUAACACAUGCAAGUCGAACGGCAGCACAGUAAGAGCUUGCUCUUACGGGUGGCGAGUGGCGGACGGGUGAGGAAUACAUCGGAAUCUACUUUUUCGUGGGGGAUAACGUAGGGAAACUUACGCUAAUACCGCAUACGACCUACGGGUGAAAGCAGGGGAUCUUCGGACCUUGCGCGAUUGAAUGAGCCGAUGUCGGAUUAGCUAGUUGGCGGGGUAAAGGCCCACCAAGGCGACGAUCCGUAGCUGGUCUGAGAGGAUGAUCAGCCACACUGGAGCUGAGACACGGUCCAGACUCCUACGGGAGGCAGCAGCGGGGAAUAUUGGACAAUGGGCGCAAGCCUGAUCCAGCCAUGCCGGGUGGGUGAAGAAGGCCUUCGGGUUGUAAAGCCCUUUUGUUGGGAAAGAAAAGCAGCAGGUUAAUACCCCGCUGUUCUGACGGUACCCAAAGAAUAAGCACCGGCUAAUUUCGU